GUGAUAAGCACAACGGGAAACGCGAGUGUCAGCAGUAGGGAUAACGUCUGGACCAAAAGCAAGAGAGAAAGAGAUGUAGAAAUGUGAGUAGUGAACAGUGAUGGAGGAAGAUGCUGGUAACCUUGGCGCAGCCUCCCUAUGGACCAAAAUGGCCACCAGACACUACGACGAUUGGGUAACUCAAAAUAUUUGGGGCGUGGUCAAAGGACGCCCUUUACUCGAGAGUCGUACUAAUUUUUUGCAAGAUUGAAACGAGGAGGGAAACAACAAGAGCACUCUAUAGCAGAGGUGGGACGAUAUACAAGCAAAAAAAGUGAAAGAAAGAUCGACUGUGUGCAAAAGGAAGGGAGGUCAUGUGCAAAGAGGAGCAGAAGAGGGUGAGCACCUUUUUAUUGGUUCUCCCUUCAUGCUCAUAUAUUGCUUUUAAUGUACUAUUUCAAAUAGGCACUACAUAUAGCUUUAAUAAAUAAAUAUAUAUUUCCGUGCUCCUACGCACUCUUCUCUUUUGUCAAGACUAUUGAAGAACGAGUUUGUGUUUGUAUUUGUUAUAUUUAACUUUCAGAGAGCAAAAUAAGAAAUCUAUUUCUACUGUGCUGUAUAAAGCUAUUGAUGGUAUUUUUCAAUAUUAUCUUUGCCUAGAAGCUGCAGCAACUAUGACGAAUUAUGAAUGAAUAUAUUAUGGUGAUAAUAUACUAUAGUAAACAGAAUUGACUUUGUGCUCUGAAAAAAUAAGUUGACAGUUUUUAAAGUAAACAUAUGUAUUUCUUCAGAAUUUUACAAGUCCACUCUUCUCUGUUUGCGGAAGAAACAUCUGGCUCAUGUCCAUCAUAACAACUAGCAUCUAAGAGAACAAGAAAGAGAGGAAGAGAGAAAGAAAGAGAGCGAUGUACACCGGAUGUUUUGGAGUUGUCAAAAAACUGACUUGCCUUCAGCGACAACUAUUAUUCGGUGCAGGAUCCUUAGAAUCCACCAACAAAUCUUGUGGAGCACGAGAAGAAUGAAUGCAACUAAACGCCCCUGGAGAUACCCACUUUAUUUAUAUAGAAAAAGCGUGGAUAGGCUGUAGACACGUUUCCAAACAUAGAAUUGCGAGGUACAUGAGACUUUCAAUGGAACCAUGUAUUCCAUGAUCUUUUUGUCAUUAUGAUGAGCUGAAUACAAUGUGAAAACAUCUAGUAACUUCUUUGUUGAUGCUUUGGUGAUGGAAAUUAUUUAAGGAUUUAUCUAUGUAAGUUUUAGUGAUGGGUAUCUCAUGACGUCAACCGCGAGGAUAUCUAGGAAAAUCACAAGGAUCUAUGAGGCUGUCACUCGACACCAAAUCAGACAGAAUCUGUCAAAAAUCCGUCAUGUCAACUAGACAAUACCAUGAAAGAGGCACUAGCCCUGGUCGUUUUCUUAUUCUCUUUUAGUUUACGAUAGAGAGAACUUAGUAUCCAAAGUGGGCUUCAUAGCCUACUGUGAGUGAUGUAUACAUAUACAGAGGUGGGCCUUGUUGCCGUGUUAAAUUUGACACCCUUCGAGCCAAUAAAAUAAAAUGGCCCGUGGAAUGCGGUCGACAGGGGGACUUCUUUUUGAGUGGCACAUCCUUUUUCGACUCUUCUUCGAUGUCACUUGGCGACUUCACUCUUCUUGAUCUUCUUAGUUUGAUAAUAAUAAUAAUAGUCAUUAUACAAGAUGCUGUCUAUGUAUAUAUGGACAUACGAUUAAAAAAUAAGUCUGUAAAUUUAUUUUUCAAAAUUUAUAGAAGGUGACGAAUUGACGAUUAAUAUAUUGCUUUUAAUUCAAUGCGAAUGUUGAUAGCGGUUGAAUUUAAGAUAUUAAAAUGAGAUAAAUAGGUAAUCUAGUCAAUUUGACACCCUCAUAAAAUUCUAAUGGACUCUAUUUCCCAUUUACAGCUGAUGUCCAUUUACAACCUGGCAUGUGUCAAUACAGUUGACAAAUAUGCUCCAUUUCCGUUGUGAUCAGUCUGAUAAAUUAAACUGAAAAUAUCUAUGUUACUUAAAAUAACUUUUUUUAAUCAGAUUACAAAACUUGUUUAUUUCUUAAAACUUUAAUUAUUAUAUUUUUGAGAUAAUAAGGAUUAUUGUUAGUGAUUUUGUCCAUUACACGUGCGUAUGGAAUAGUCAGAUGGAAAUAUAUAAACAAAACAAAUACUGAUUUAUGUUUGAUGAAGAAAAACGAAUCACGAUAAGAAGGAGUUAGUACUCGAGAGUAACAUUAUAUGAACGUUUAAUCCGUUAAAUCCGGUUCCUUCAUAAUCGUUUGUAUAUAUAUUUUUUAUGAUCCAGCUCAUAGAUCUUUUAACUUUUGUUGACGUAAGAAUAGUUUUUUCAUGUUUAUAAAGGUAUAUUUUUAAUUAUUAUAACUUAUUUUAUAAUUCAUAAUGUUAUCAUUUUUUCAA
RNAcentral lists this long non-coding RNA (2401 nucleotides) under Chelonus insularis. RNAcentral describes it as "uncharacterized LOC118066883". Lineage: Eukaryota; Metazoa; Arthropoda; Insecta; Hymenoptera; Braconidae. The record is from RNAcentral.